RNAcentral lists this non-coding RNA (107 nucleotides) under Lachnospiraceae bacterium. RNAcentral's name for it is "TPP sequence". It matches the Rfam family "TPP riboswitch aptamer (THI element)". From Rfam's summary of the family: Vitamin B(1) in its active form thiamin pyrophosphate (TPP) is an essential coenzyme that is synthesised by coupling of pyrimidine and thiazole moieties in bacteria. Lineage: Bacteria; Bacillati; Bacillota; Clostridia; Lachnospirales; Lachnospiraceae. The record is from Rfam by way of RNAcentral.
UGCCGAUGCCAGGGGAGCUUUUGCUGAGACCCGAAUCAGACCUGAUUCCGGGACCCUCAACACCUGAACCGGAUAAUGCCGGCGUAGGGAGGCAAUAUUUUGUGAUA